UACGUAGGGGGCAAGCGUUGUCCGGAUUUAUUGGGCGUAAAGAGCGUGUAGGCGGCUUUACAGGUCCGUUGUGAAAACUCGAGGCUCAACCUCGAGACGCCGGUGGAAACCAUCAGGCUAGAGUCCGGAAGAGGAGAGUGGAAUUCCUGGUGUAGCGGUGAAAUGCGCAGAUAUCAGGAAGAACACCCGUGGCUAAGGCGGCUCUCUAGUACGGUACUGACGCUGAGACGCGAAAGCGUGGGGAGCGAACAGG
RNAcentral lists this ribosomal RNA (253 nucleotides) under uncultured bacterium. RNAcentral describes it as "partial 16S ribosomal RNA". It matches the Rfam family "Bacterial small subunit ribosomal RNA", at positions 524 to 776 of the family's 1533-position model. The record is from RNAcentral.